AUGAGCCCUGCACAUGAAAACGCCAUUAAUGAAGGCUGAAGAGGAAUUGCUGGCUACCCCACCAGGAUGUGGCUGUCCCAACUCCGUAAAUCUGACCUAUACGGUCCCAAUGGAAAUGAUGAAGGUGAUCUACAUACACCCUCUCCAAGAGGGGAUGCUUUUGGAAGUAAACUGGUAUCAAGUCCUUUCGGACUGUGAAGCGUAUCUAUGGAGAGUGACUAGUCGGCUAAACGUGAUUUCUGGGGGCGAUUUUUGUCAUCAUUUUGACUGGUAUCUAUCGGUGUCUAAUCUUCAGUUUGAGCCAUUUCUCCUCACUACUUUCCGUACGGCCAUGUAGUAAUUGUGUUUGGAUUAUAAACCUUUCAUCCCAAACUGUCACAUUACUCUUAAGGCUUAAGAGGAAUAGUAGGGAUAGUGGGAACACUGGGAAUAGUUUUAUGUUCAUGAAACAUAAGUUUUAUUUUGGCAUGAAAACAAGAAGAUGGGUUUGCCCAUCAUGGGAAAAGUCUCUGUUGGCAUGAA
This is a long non-coding RNA of Vitis vinifera (wine grape), 522 nucleotides long. RefSeq lists it as uncharacterized. The transcript has 2 exons. The record is from RefSeq and is a predicted model, not a curated record. NCBI's taxonomy places the organism in Eukaryota, Viridiplantae, Streptophyta, Magnoliopsida, Vitales, Vitaceae.